AGCGAACGCUGGCGGCAGGCUUAACACAUGCAAGUCGAACGGAUCCUUCGGGAUUAGUGGCGGACGGGUGAGUAACACGUGGGAACGUGCCUUUUGGUUCGGAACAACACAGGGAAACUUGUGCUAAUACCGGAUGUGCCCUUCGGGGAAAGAUUUAUCGCCAUUAGAGCGGCCCGCGUCUGAUUAGCUAGUUGGUGAGGUAAAGGCUCACCAAGGCUACGAUCAGUAGCUGGUCNGAGAGGAUGAUCAGCCACACUGGGACUGAGACACGGCCCAGACUCCUACGGGAGGCAGCAGUGGGGAAUCUUGCGCAAUGGGGGAAACCCUGACGCAGCCAUGCCGCGUGAAUGAUGAAGGUCUUAGGAUUGUAAAAUUCUUUCAGCGGGGACGAUAAUGACGGUACCCG
Molecule: ribosomal RNA, 406 nt
Filed under: uncultured bacterium
Lineage: Bacteria
Description: bacterial SSU rRNA
Rfam family: Bacterial small subunit ribosomal RNA
Source: RNAcentral